Molecule: ribosomal RNA, 431 nt
Filed under: uncultured Agrobacterium sp.
Lineage: Bacteria; Pseudomonadati; Pseudomonadota; Alphaproteobacteria; Hyphomicrobiales; Rhizobiaceae
Description: bacterial SSU rRNA
Rfam family: Bacterial small subunit ribosomal RNA
Source: RNAcentral
AGAGUUUGAUCAUGGCUCAGAACGAACGCUGGCGGCAGGCUUAACACAUGCAAGUCGAACGCCCCGCAAGGGGAGUGGCAGACGGGUGAGUAACGCGUGGGAACGUGCCCUUCGCUUCGGAAUAGUCCCGGGAAACUGGGUUUAAUACCGGAUACGCCGUAUUGGGAAAGAUUUAUCGGCGAAGGAUCGGCCCGCGUUAGAUUAGGUAGUUGGCGGUGUAAUGGACCACCAAGCCUACGAUCUAUAGCUGGUCUGAGAGGAUGAUCAGCCACACUGGGACUGAGACACGGCCCAGACUCCUACGGGAGGCAGCAGUGGGGAAUCUUGGACAAUGGGCGCAAGCCUGAUCCAGCCAUGCCGCGUGAGUGAAGAAGGCCUUAGGGUUGUAAAACUCUUUCGCCGGAGAAGAUAAUGACGGUAUCCGAGAAGAG